RNAcentral lists this ribosomal RNA (2901 nucleotides) under Klebsiella pneumoniae. Its description in RNAcentral is "23S ribosomal RNA". It matches the Rfam family "Bacterial large subunit ribosomal RNA". The record is from RNAcentral. Lineage: Bacteria; Pseudomonadati; Pseudomonadota; Gammaproteobacteria; Enterobacterales; Enterobacteriaceae.
GGUUAAGCGACUAAGCGUACACGGUGGAUGCCCUGGCAGUCAGAGGCGAUGAAGGACGUGCUAAUCUGCGAAAAGCGUCGGUAAGGUGAUAUGAACCGUUACAGCCGGCGAUGUCCGAAUGGGGAAACCCAGUGCAAUUCGUUGCACUAUCGUUAACUGAAUACAUAGGUUAACGAGGCGAACCGGGGGAACUGAAACAUCUAAGUACCCCGAGGAAAAGAAAUCAACCGAGAUUCCCCCAGUAGCGGCGAGCGAACGGGGAGCAGCCCAGAGUCUGAAUCAGCUUGUGUGUUAGUGGAACGGUCUGGAAAGUCCGACGGUACAGGGUGAUAGUCCCGUACACCAAAAUGCACAGGCUGUGAACUCGAAGAGUAGGGCGGGACACGUGGUAUCCUGUCUGAAUAUGGGGGGACCAUCCUCCAAGGCUAAAUACUCCUGACUGACCGAUAGUGAACCAGUACCGUGAGGGAAAGGCGAAAAGAACCCCGGCGAGGGGAGUGAAAAAGAACCUGAAACCGUGUACGUACAAGCAGUGGGAGCACCUUCGGGUGUGACUGCGUACCUUUUGUAUAAUGGGUCAGCGACUUAUAUUCUGUAGCAAGGUUAACCGUAUAGGGAGCCGCAGGGAAACCGAGUCUUAACUGGGCGUUAAGUUGCAGGGUAUAGACCCGAAACCCGGUGAUCUAGCCAUGGGCAGGUUGAAGGUUGGGUAACACUAACUGGAGGACCGAACCGACUAAUGUUGAAAAAUUAGCGGAUGACUUGUGGCUGGGGGUGAAAGGCCAAUCAAACCGGGAGAUAGCUGGUUCUCCCCGAAAGCUAUUUAGGUAGCGCCUCGUGAAUUCAUCUUCGGGGGUAGAGCACUGUUUCGGCUAGGGGGUCAUCCCGACUUACCAACCCGAUGCAAACUGCGAAUACCGAAGAAUGUUAUCACGGGAGACACACGGCGGGUGCUAACGUCCGUCGUGAAGAGGGAAACAACCCAGACCGCCAGCUAAGGUCCCAAAGUCAUGGUUAAGUGGGAAACGAUGUGGGAAGGCACAGACAGCCAGGAUGUUGGCUUAGAAGCAGCCAUCAUUUAAAGAAAGCGUAAUAGCUCACUGGUCGAGUCGGCCUGCGCGGAAGAUGUAACGGGGCUAAACCAUGCACCGAAGCUGCGGCAGCGACACUAUGUGUUGUUGGGUAGGGGAGCGUUCUGUAAGCCUGCGAAGGUGUGCUGUGAGGCAUGCUGGAGGUAUCAGAAGUGCGAAUGCUGACAUAAGUAACGAUAAAGCGGGUGAAAAGCCCGCUCGCCGGAAGACCAAGGGUUCCUGUCCAACGUUAAUCGGGGCAGGGUGAGUCGACCCCUAAGGCGAGGCCGAAAGGCGUAGUCGAUGGGAAACAGGUUAAUAUUCCUGUACUUGGUGUUACUGCGAAGGGGGGACGGAGAAGGCUAUGUUAGCCGGGCGACGGUUGUCCCGGUUUAAGCAUGUAGGCUGGUUGUCCAGGCAAAUCCGGAUAAUCAAGGCUGAGGUGUGAUGACGAGGCACUACGGUGCUGAAGUAACAAAUGCCCUGCUUCCAGGAAAAGCCUCUAAGCAUCAGGUAACAUUAAAUCGUACCCCAAACCGACACAGGUGGUCAGGUAGAGAAUACCAAGGCGCUUGAGAGAACUCGGGUGAAGGAACUAGGCAAAAUGGUGCCGUAACUUCGGGAGAAGGCACGCUGGUGUGUAGGUGAAGUCCCUGCGGAUGGAGCUGAGACCAGUCGAAGAUACCAGCUGGCUGCAACUGUUUAUUAAAAACACAGCACUGUGCAAACACGAAAGUGGACGUAUACGGUGUGACGCCUGCCCGGUGCCGGAAGGUUAAUUGAUGGGGUUAUCCGUAAGGAGAAGCUCUUGAUCGAAGCCCCGGUAAACGGCGGCCGUAACUAUAACGGUCCUAAGGUAGCGAAAUUCCUUGUCGGGUAAGUUCCGACCUGCACGAAUGGCGUAAUGAUGGCCAGGCUGUCUCCACCCGAGACUCAGUGAAAUUGAACUCGCUGUGAAGAUGCAGUGUACCCGCGGCAAGACGGAAAGACCCCGUGAACCUUUACUAUAGCUUGACACUGAACAUUGAGCCUUGAUGUGUAGGAUAGGUGGGAGGCUUUGAAGCGUGGACGCCAGUCUGCGUGGAGCCAACCUUGAAAUACCACCCUUUAAUGUUUGAUGUUCUAACGUUGGCCCCUUACCGGGGUUGCGGACAGUGUCUGGUGGGUAGUUUGACUGGGGCGGUCUCCUCCCAAAGCGUAACGGAGGAGCACGAAGGUUAGCUAAUCCUGGUCGGACAUCAGGAGGUUAGUGCAAUGGCAUAAGCUAGCUUGACUGCGAGCGUGACGGCGCGAGCAGGUGCGAAAGCAGGUCAUAGUGAUCCGGUGGUUCUGAAUGGAAGGGCCAUCGCUCAACGGAUAAAAGGUACUCCGGGGAUAACAGGCUGAUACCGCCCAAGAGUUCAUAUCGACGGCGGUGUUUGGCACCUCGAUGUCGGCUCAUCACAUCCUGGGGCUGAAGUAGGUCCCAAGGGUAUGGCUGUUCGCCAUUUAAAGUGGUACGCGAGCUGGGUUUAGAACGUCGUGAGACAGUUCGGUCCCUAUCUGCCGUGGGCGCUGGAGAAUUGAGGGGGGCUGCUCCUAGUACGAGAGGACCGGAGUGGACGCAUCACUGGUGUUCGGGUUGUCAUGCCAAUGGCACUGCCCGGUAGCUAAAUGCGGAAGAGAUAAGUGCUGAAAGCAUCUAAGCACGAAACUUGCCCCGAGAUGAGUUCUCCCUGAGACUUUAAGUCUCCUGAAGGAACGUUAAAGACGAUGACGUUGAUAGGCCGGGUGUGUAAGCGCAGCGAUGCGUUGAGCUAACCGGUACUAAUGAACCGUGAGGCUUAACCUU